GUGAAUCAUCAAAUCUUUGAACGCAAAUUGCACUCUCUUCGGAGCGUAUGAGUGUUUGAGGGUCAGCCUAAAUAAAAACGACAUCGUUGCUGUUUCGCGGUGGCGUUCGUCGGUAAUUGGGUUAUCUUAAAUCUUUGGUUUAAGUGACUUAAAUUUUUUUUUACGAUUCUAUGAAUGUUUCCAAGAUUUUUUUUUUUUCAUGUUUAAGGUUUCGCUUUUAUUAGGCGUGUUCGU
This 234-nucleotide unclassified non-coding RNA is filed under the name Glomeraceae sp. Its description in RNAcentral is "partial contains 5.8S ribosomal RNA and internal transcribed spacer 2". Lineage: Eukaryota; Fungi; Glomeromycota; Glomeromycetes; Glomerales; Glomeraceae. The record is from RNAcentral.